This 28-nucleotide non-coding RNA is filed under the name Prorocentrum micans. Lineage: Eukaryota; Dinophyceae; Prorocentrales; Prorocentraceae. The record is from RNAcentral.
AAUUUUUUUUUUUUUUUUUUUUUUUUUU